AUUGAACGCUGGCGGCAGGCCUAACACAUGCAAGUCGAACGAGUGGCGGACGGGUGAGUCAUGUCUGGGAAACUGCCCGAUGGAGGGGGAUAACUACUGGAAACGGUAGCUAAUACCGCAUACCAUCGGAUGUGCCCAGAUGGGAUUAGCUAUGAGGUGGGGUAACGGCUCACCUAGGCGACGAUCCCUAGCUGGUCUGAGAGGAUGACAAGCCACACUGGACCUGAGACACGGUCCAGACUCCUACGGGAGGCAGCAGUGGGGAAUAUUGCACAAUGGGCGAUAGCCUGAUUCAGCCAUGCCGCGUGUAUGAAGAAUGCCUUCGGGUUGUAAAGUACUUUCAGCGGGGAGGCGUUACCCGCAGAAGAAUCACCGGCUAACUCCGUGCCAGCAGCCGCGGUAAUUC
This 406-nucleotide ribosomal RNA is filed under the name uncultured bacterium. Its description in RNAcentral is "partial 16S ribosomal RNA". It matches the Rfam family "Bacterial small subunit ribosomal RNA", at positions 30 to 526 of the family's 1533-position model. The record is from RNAcentral.